CCUCUUUUGAUUUUCAGAUUUUAACUAUUUUGUCCUUCAUUAUUUGACUUGUUUCCCAAGUUACUACACUAAACUACUGAUUUUUAAACAAAACUACCCUUCUAGAAGGGUCUAAAAGAUUCUAUCAUUGCUUCUUACUAAUAAGAUAACUAUACUACCCUUGUUGUAUUCUAAAAACUACCAAAACUAAGUUAAAAUUCUAUAUUACCUCUAUUUUAUUCUAAAAAUUACCAGAACUAGGUGGAAACCCUAUAUUACCCUUUUAAUGCUGAAAUUAUUGUUUCAUUCAAUUAAGACUCACAAUUAAUUACUAGCUAAUCAACAGCUAUAACCAACUCCUAAUUACAUGUGAAAUAUUAAUCAGGAAUAAACAACAAUCAAACUAUGCAAUUAAGACACUACUGAAUCAAAAAUUCAAAUCAAAUAUUGAAAUUAAAAGAAAAACAUGGAAGGCUAUAGUUAUCAUGCUAUUAACAAAAUUGAAGCAAGUCAGAAUUGAAAACUGGAAGCUACUAUGCUGGACUUCAAACUAACGAAAUGAAAAACUAAAAGCAACCAAAACAAAACAAAUUGAAGAAAAUCAGAGCUUGGUCUUUGAAACAUGGUGGCUAACUAAAAUUCACAAUCAAAUUAUAGGAAUAUUUAGAACUCCUAGAACUAACGAU
RNAcentral lists this long non-coding RNA (665 nucleotides) under Nicotiana benthamiana. RNAcentral's name for it is "long non-coding RNA (NBEN_LNC014607)". The record is from RNAcentral. Lineage: Eukaryota; Viridiplantae; Streptophyta; Magnoliopsida; Solanales; Solanaceae.